GUCCCUUCAGGGAUAUCCGAUAAAAUUGAAACGAUACAGAGAAGAUUAGCAUGUCCUUGCGUAAGAAUGACACGCAUAAAUCGAGAAAUGGUCCAAUUUUUU
This 102-nucleotide small nuclear RNA is filed under the name Nicotiana sylvestris (wood tobacco). The record is from RNAcentral. Lineage: Eukaryota; Viridiplantae; Streptophyta; Magnoliopsida; Solanales; Solanaceae.